UGUCUCCUCUUGAUCGCAAACCUCUCUGGUUGCGGACGUAAUCACAUCAGGGCCUGAAGCUUUGCACAACUUGAUAACACAGAUGAGUGGAAGAUCUAUAAAGGUAGUGAUGGUGGCCCGACAACCAAUCGUGCCUUUACAGCAAAAUCCCAACCCGUUUCUAUUUUGGUGGUGGGUUGAAAGUAACAAUUGGAACACAUUUUGGAUACGCACACCACCUAUCCAGGAGAUGCACGACAUGCCACAAUAGUAUUACCACUAUGUUAUGCCGGUUCUUAUCCCGUAGUGGAGGCAUCAUCGAACUCGCCACCACCACUCACGAUCACUCCUUCCAACACGUCUGCAAGGCACUCACCUGCGAACAUUUCACACGAUGAUUGUUCGAUUGACAUCCACAACAAGAAUUACUCGAUGUCAGCUCCAAAUGAUGCGUGCCCAUUUGAGCUAACCUGCACAUCAACUACGAAUGUUACAGUUGACAAUGGCUUUCUAGUAGUGGGUAUUUGUUUUUGUAGAUAGUUGUCUUAUAAUAAAUGCUAUUUUAUGUUUCUGACCUUAUCACUUAUGAAAAAGAAAUCAAUUCAAUGUUAUGUAUUA
Long non-coding RNA from Malus domestica (apple), 597 nucleotides. RefSeq lists it as uncharacterized. The record is from RefSeq and is a predicted model, not a curated record. NCBI's taxonomy places the organism in Eukaryota, Viridiplantae, Streptophyta, Magnoliopsida, Rosales, Rosaceae.